This 1492-nucleotide long non-coding RNA is filed under the name Fragaria vesca (wild strawberry). RNAcentral describes it as "long non-coding RNA (FVES_LNC005354)". Lineage: Eukaryota; Viridiplantae; Streptophyta; Magnoliopsida; Rosales; Rosaceae. The record is from RNAcentral.
GAGAGAGAGAGAGAGAGAGAGACAAUUGGAGAAGAGUGACAACUACUUUGGAAAAUCAAAAAGAAUAAAGGAAGGGAGCUUUCAGGCCUUGAUUCAUCAUAGAGAUAGCUGGAGUUGUUUUAUUUUCCAGGUAGUGGUUACGAAUUAAUUUGGGGUUAAGCCUCUUGAGUUUAUGCUUAUAGACAAUAGAUUGAAGUCUUCUACACUUGAGGUAUGUCUCCGCAUAUGGGUAAUAGCUAGAACAGAGAGAGUAAAUUCAUGGAUCAGAAUAGAAAGAUUAGUUUAUGUUCAUUGUAUUUUCUAAGCAGUGUUGUAGUUCGAUUUUGGUUAGGAUUUAGAACUCCGUUUGGCUUGAAAUUUUGCACCAUUAUUCUUCCUUGAGGAUACUCUUGGUCUGCAAAUUUUGGUGUUAUUUGAUAAGAUAGUUGAAUUAUAGUGAUUUUCUAAAGAUAAGUGUACUGUGCUGAUGAAAUUGUAUUCGGUGUUAUGUGUGCAGCUGUUUUGGAGUCUGAUUUUGAUCAAGAUUUAGGACUCCAUUUGCUCUGAAAUUUUGUACUCUUUUUCUUCCAUAUGUGAACUCUUGAUCUAGAAAGUUUGGUACUAUUUGAUAGGGUAGGCGAUUUGUGGUGAUUUGCUUACCGAUUUUGACAGAUGCUCCAAAAUUUAUGGAUUUGCAACAGUAAAGAAAGAGAGAAAGAAAUGGAUACUUAGGUAUUUUAUGUCUGAGAUUGAAUGAGGUAUCUGAGGCUUAACGAGGUUUUAAAAUUUUUGUACAAACAUGAAAUUGCUUUACCUUGGUCAUCUUAUCAUAUGUAAAGUUUUCAUUUUUCUCAAGUAUAUAAGCAGACUGGAAUAGUCAAGGUAAGAUACUUUAGUGCCAUUCUACAUCAUUGUAAUCAUAUUGUUUUAUCAAGUUGGAUUGCUCUUCUGCUCUUUUGACUUCUAUUCGAUUAAUUGUUCUUUUUUUUCCUCACAGAACUACAAGUUCAGAGGCUCUGCAUUCUGUUGUUUGUACCAGUUAUUGGUGGGUGAAAGAAAUUUUUCAUUAUGAGAAUUCAGAUCUCUGCAUCUAUCUAUGGUGUUUGUGUCAGUUAUGAUAUUUUGGAGUUAAUGGUUUGGAUUAGAACUAUAUUAGACAGAUAUCCGAGAGGGGAGUGUUUUAUUUUUCAGAUAAAACAUGACAUAUAUGUUUCAUUUUCACUAAUAGUAGCACAUAGGCUUUGUAUAUCAAAUACACAAGUUUUUAACAAAUGGAAAGAAAGGAAUUAAAGAAGUAAAGAAGGGAGUUAUGGAAGUGAUCUAUGAGAAACAAAAGUUGCAUCUAGACUGGAAAACAUUGCAAUCUAAUGGGUAUGUGCUGUCAAGCUUCUAUACAUAAAAGUAAGGGGCAUGUGUGUUGUUCAGGUCACUGAUUGUCGUAGUUUAUAGCAGUUUAGGUUGCUCAAAAAUUGAGUACUCUCAUAAUUUAUUAUGCUUAUAAUUUUAUUAUGCU